Molecule: ribosomal RNA, 489 nt
Filed under: uncultured bacterium
Lineage: Bacteria
Description: partial 16S ribosomal RNA
Rfam family: Bacterial small subunit ribosomal RNA
Source: RNAcentral
GACGAACGCUGGCGGCGUGCUUAACACAUGCAAGUCGAACGGAAAGGCCCCCAUCUUGGUGGGGGUGCUCGAGUGGCGAACGGGUGAGUAACACGUGGGUGAUCUGCCCUGUACUUCGGGAUAAGCUUGGGAAACUGGGUCUAAUACCGGAUAGGACCAUGGUUUAGUGUCUCAUGGUGGAAAGAUUAUUGUUUUGGUGCAGGAUGAGCUCGCGGCCUAUCAGCUUGUUGGUGGGGUAAUGGCCUACCAAGGCGUCGACGGGUAGCCGGCCUGAGAGGGUGGACGGCCAGAUUGGGACUGAGAGACGGCCCAGACUCCUACGGGAGGCAGCAGUGGGGAAUAUUGCACAGUGGGCGCAAGCCUGAUGCAGCGACGCCGCGUGGGGGAUGACGGCCUUCGGGUUGUAAACUCCUUUCGUUAGGGACGAAGCCGCACUUUUUUUGGGUGUGGUGACGGUACCUUUGUUAAGAAGCACCGGCUAACUACGUG